Molecule: unclassified non-coding RNA, 729 nt
Filed under: Hevea brasiliensis (rubber tree)
Lineage: Eukaryota; Viridiplantae; Streptophyta; Magnoliopsida; Malpighiales; Euphorbiaceae
Source: RNAcentral
UGGUACUUUAACCACCAAAUCUCGUCCCAAAGAUUCCAAGGUCAAGAAGGAGGAGCCCCAAAUUGAUGACGACGACGACGAUUUUGUAAAACCCAAAGUGUUGAAGAGCUCAUCAGGGUCCCGCCCCAACGCAUCUAAAGUCAAGAAGGAAGAAGAUAAGGAUGAUGAUGAUGAUCACAAACCCAUAUCCAAGAAGAACUCUGUGGCCAAGGAAUUGAACAAUAAGAAGAAGAAAAAGGAGGAAGAGAAGAAGAAGGGAUCUGUAGUUACGGAGCAAAAUGGCAAAAAGAGGGAGAGGAAGGUUUAUGAGUUGCCUGGUCAGAAGCGAGACCCUCCCGAGGAGAGAGAUCCACUUAGGAUUUUUUAUGAAUCACUGUAUAAGCAGCUUCCCAAAAGUGAAAUGGCUCAAAUCUGGAUGAUGGAAUCCGGUUUGCUCUCUAAAGAAGAGGCAAAGAAAGUUUAUGAGAAGAAACAGAAGAAGAAUCAGCAGAAACUGAGUUCCCCAAUCAAAGCAGUUGCCUCAACAAAGAAGACUCAAUCUGCAACUGUUGUUAAGAAAAAGACACCAUCAUCGCCAGUAUCUUCAAUUAAAAAGAAGACAACAGAAUCUGAGCUUGACAAAAAGCAGCCAAAAAAGCGCAAGAUUGGAGAUGGGAGCUCUGAAGAAGAUUCUGAUGAUGAUUUCAUAGUUAAUAGAAGCACAAAGAAACACAGAGCAUCUUGAGCAAA